Small nucleolar RNA from Humulus lupulus (European hop), 107 nucleotides. NCBI's taxonomy places the organism in Eukaryota, Viridiplantae, Streptophyta, Magnoliopsida, Rosales, Cannabaceae. The record is from RefSeq and is a predicted model, not a curated record.
AUUCCACUAUGGAGACACUUCCUAAACAACUCCUUAAAUUGCUCCCAUGCAUCAUAUAAAGACUCCCCAUCGUUUUGGUGGAAAUUAUUUAUUUCACCUCUCAACUU